AUAGAUUGGCAUUGUUGAAAUCGGUAUCAGCGGUUACCAAAAUAGGUGAUUCUACAGUUCAACCGCUGAAAAUGGCUAAUGCUGUUGACAUCAGAAGUCGCUCGCUGAUCGAUGUUCUUAUAUCAGUAACAAUCACUAUUUGGAAGAGAUUAGGGGAAGCGUUUAUCAAACCGCGUGCUGGUCGCGGUAAACCCUAGAACUAGUUUUCCAUCACAAUAUCCUUUCAUUGAAGGAUUACAACGCUAAUCACUCGGAUUUUGGAGUUGGUAGCUAGAGCGCAAUUUGCCAUAAUUAAUAAUGACUCUGGUUUGUGCUCUGUUUUCAUGAUGCCUAAUGUGAGGUACAUUAGAAGAUCCUGGAACAAUGUGUUGGGGGAUUUCUUAAGGUGGAGGAGAAUAAUGGGUCCGUCAAUGGCUUCCGCAGCGGCGAAGCCUAUGAAGGAGAAGCUCAAGUUGUUCAACCUGCAUUUUGAGGAGAUGUGCAGGGAUCAGUCUCAGUGGUUUAUUUUUUAUGUGCAGCUCAGGGAAGAAAUAAGAAUCUACCUGUAAAAGAUCUUGUUGCAGUAGCAAUAGCAACAUCCUGGACUUUGAUAUGCUCAACCUGGAAGAGAAUACACUGGUCCCUUAUAGAGUAUGGUAACAGCAACCAGGAAGAGAAUACACUGGUCCCUCAAUUCUAAUUGAGCUUCAAACAAUCGAUGGACUGAUAAAGGUUUGACCAAUGUAUAAAAUAAGAUAUGUGAUAUGUGACUGACAGGGAAUCAUACAUCCAGAACUCAGUUUUUUGACCAUGGUCCUCUAAAGCUGUAAAAUGCAUAAGUGGAUGCAACAUGUGGUUGGGUAUUCAGAGUGUGUUUCCAAAUGAUUGAAAAGGCCACUUCUUUCAGCAUGUACAGUUGGGGAAGGAGAAGAAGUUGAGCAGGUUAUGGAAGGUUAUAUGGUAUGCCACUAUUUGCGGCAUAUGGCUGUUAAAGAACUCUGUAUUUUUUAACGGGGGGAUUUAGUGCAGAACCUAUUCUUGACUUGAUUAAAAUGAGGUCUUGGUUGUGGUUAAAAGCAAAUGUGAAUAAUUUUAAAGCUACUUUCUAUCAAUGGGGUAUGGAUCCAGAUUAUUGCCUAAAGUGAAGUGUUGUGCAAAUAUCAUCUGGGCGAUAGUUUCAGGUUUGAACUCAUUGUUUCAACUCUUUCACUGUUUGGAGUAUAUUGUGGCUAUUUUCCAACGGUUCUGCUCAGGCCUUGGUGUAAAGAGGCUUAAUGGAAAUUACUGCAGGUAAUUGAUAACAGUGUAGGGAUGGUUAUUAGUAUAGCACAAGCAGUCCAUAAUGGCUGUUUUUGUGUCUUACUAGAUUUCUUAUUUAUGACAUUGCUGUUUUUUUUUUUGGACAAUGCAUCUAUUAACAACUUUGUUCAUCGGUACCUGCAUGCAACCACGAAUGGAGAGCAAGCAAGGGCAAGUGUCAUGACAUUGAUGUUUGAUUACGCAUGUUUGGUGUUUGGUUUUUGAAGUGGGAGGGGGUUUCAUUUUCUGUUUGGUCAAAUAUGCUGGGUUCAGUUGUAUUAUUUCUACUUGUUUAUGUAAACUUUUGUUGUAUUGGUUUGAAGCUUUUGCUUCCUUUAAUUCAUUUUGGCUUUUUCGAAAAAUAAAAGGUGGAUGCUAAUAAAAAAAGAUCAACUACUCUAAUUCCAAGAAGUAAUAAAUGAUGGGGGCUUUAGUUAAUAUAUUAAAGGGAUUAGUUAAUAAUUAUUUGUUCUAAAAUAUUUGUUCUAAUUGAGCUGUGGUCAGAUCAAAUACAUGAUCGAGCACAUGCAGGUGAAUGUAAAAUACUGACUAAACUCAAUGUACUGCUUAGCUCCGAAAAGUAAAAAAUGACAGUGCUUUAUUAGUCAAUACACUAGUUAAUAAAAAAAUUAUCAGAACCCAUUUCACACCACCAUUUAUUAUUUAUUAUUUUUAUUUAACAACUUUUGAAGGUGGUAAUUAUAAAAUUAAGAAACGAAAGGGAAUCUGAUCUCUUCCCUAACCUUCAACCCGUAUGAAAGUAAUUACAUACAUACUUAUUACUCCACUGUUUGUUGCAUAUAAGUACCUUGCUAGUCUCUUCUUGUUAGUAAUUACAUACCUAUCACUCCACAGUUUGUUGCAUAUAAGUGUUCUUGCUGGUCUCUUGUUUACUGUUUGUUGCAUAUAAAUACCUUGCUAGUAUCUUCUUGUUAGUAAUUAAAUACCUAUCACUCCACUGUUUGUUGCAUAUAAGUGUUCUUGCUGGUCUCUUGUUUACGAUUUUCAAGUUCCUGUAUCAUGACAAGUCAAACAACACUCUCCAUGUUUUCCAACUUCAAAUAUCAAUGGACUUAUGAUGUCUUCCUCAGUUUUAGAGGUGAAGACACCAGGUUAAAUUUCACUAGUCAUCUCAAUUAUUCUCUACGGCAAAGGGGAAUUCAUACUUUCAUUGAUAAUUAAAAGCUUAGAAGAGGAGAAGAAAUCAGACCAGCUCUACUUGACGCCAUUCUAGAAUCUAGAAUUGCGAUCAUUGUUUUCUCUCAGAAUUAUGCUUCCUCGACAUUUUGUUUGGAAGAACUUGUUACCAUUCUUGAGUCAUUAAAUGUACGAGGUCGAUUGGUAUGGCCAAUUUUUUAUGAUGUGGAGCCAUCACAAGUUCGGCAUCAGACAGGGAUUUAUGCAGAAGCCAUGGCGAAACAUGAGGAAAGGUUCCAAGAUGACAAGGAUAAGGUGCAAAAAUGGAGGAAGGCUUUAUGUCAAGCAGCUGAUCUAUCAGGCUGGCAUUUCCAAAACGGUUCUGAGUCAGAAAAUGUGUUUAUCCAAAAUAUUGUUGAAGAAGUCUCAAAAUAGAUAAAUCACACUCUUUUACAUGUUGUUGAUAACCCAAUUGGGUUGGACUCUGCGGUGCUAGAAGUGCGGUCUCUCCUAGGACUUGGGUCUGAAGUGGUCAUGGUAGGCAUGUAUGGAUUUGGGGGAAUUUGUAAAACAACAAUUGCCCGUGCUUUGUAUAACUUGAUUGCCGAUCAAUUUGAAGGUUCGUGUUUUCUUGCUGACAUCAGAGAAACUGCAAUUAGUAAGCAUGGUCUUGUACAACUCCAAGAAAUGCUACUAUCUGAAAUACUUAGGGAGAAAGAUAUCAAAGUGGGAAAUGCCAACCAAGGAAUUCCAAUAAUAAAAAGAAGGCUCCAACAAAAGAAGGUUCUUUUGGUUUUGGAUGAUGUUGACAAACCGGCACAGUUAAAGGCACUUGCAGGAAGAUUUGAUUGGUUUGGCUCUGGCAGUAAGAUCAUUAUAACAACAAGAAACAAACACUUGUUAGCUACCCAUGGAGUAGAAAAUUUAUAUGAGAUUAAGGCGCUAAGCGACGAGAAAGCUCUUGAAUUGUUUAGCUGGCAUGCCUUUAAAAGUAGUACAAUUAAUCCUAGUUAUGUGGAUAUUUCAAACCGUGUUGUUUCUUAUGCAUGUGGCGUUCCAUUGGCUUUGGAAGUGAUUGGUUCUCACUUAUGUGGUAAAAGUUCAUAUAAAUGUAACUCUGCAUUAGAUAAAUAGAUAAAUAUGAACGAGUUCCUCAUGAAGAUAUCCAUGAAAUUCUUAAACUGAGCUAUGUUGGUCUGGGGGAAGAUGAGAAAGGAAUUUUCCUGGACAUUGCUUGUUUCUGCAAUAAAUAUGAACUUGACUAUGUCAAACAAGUGCUCCACGCUCAUGGAUUUCAUGCAGAAGAUGGUAUUAGAGUGUUGGCUGAUAGAUCUCUUAUUAAGAUUGAUUCUUUUGGUUUUGUAAGAAUGCAUGACUUAAUCCAAGACAUGGGCAGAGAAAUUGUAAGGCAAGAAUCAACAAAUGAGCCUGGCAGCCGCAGUAGAUUAUGGUUUGAUGAGGAUGUCAUUCAUGUUUUAGAAGAAAAUACGGGAACUGAUAAAGUUGAGUUCAUAAAGCUCGAUAUGCACAACAACAUUGAAAUGCAAUGGAGUGGAAAUGCAUUCAAGAAGAUGAAAAACCUGAGAAUUAUGAUCAUUGAAAAUUCAACAAAGUCUUCUAUAGGCCCUGAGUAUCUACCAAAUAGUUUGAGAGUGCUAGCUUGGAGUUGUUAUCCAUCACCAUCUUUACCACCUGAUUUCAAUCCUAAACAACUUGAGAUGCUUUGUUUGCCGGAAAGUUGCAUUGGAUUCUUCCAACCUCCCAAGAUGUUGGAGUCCUUAUCUUUGAUAAAUUUUGAUGAUUGCAAGUUCUUAACCGAACUACCGAGCCUAAGUGGAGCACCAUUCUUGAAGAAUCUGUCCCUUGAUAACUGCACGAAGUUAGUUAAAAUUCAUGAUUCUGUUGGGUUUCUCGAGAAUCUCAAUUGCUUGAGCGCCAAAGGAUGCACCCAGCUAGAAGUUCUGGUGCCCUGCAUCAAGUUGACAUCUCUUGAAAUCCUGGAUCUCCAGGGAUGCUCAUGUCUUAAGAGAUUCCCGGAAGUAUUGGGAAAGAUGGAGAAAUUAAUAGAAAUUAAUUUAGACGACACUGCCAUUGGAAAGUUUCCAUCUUCCAUAGGAAAUCUUAUUGGGCUUGAGCGACUGUCCCUCAAGGGAUGGGGAAAGUGUGUUAAUUCAGCUACCGGAUAGUAUCCACAUGUUGCCUAAAGUCAAAGUGGAAGUGGGUUUUGGGCAUGGAGGCUUUAGAUUUUUUGAAGGGCACCAAGAGAAAGAAAGGUUGAGCUCAGAAGCAUCUCCAAGUACAAUGCUUGUAUAUGAUGAAGCUCAGCAAGGAAGUAGUGAUUUUACUACCUUUGAUGUGUAUUAUCCGUACAUGAGCUCCAAUAAUUUCAUCCAAGUAUGUAGUCCCAUUCCGCUAGUGCAUCAUGAAUUUGUAAGGUUGUUUGAUGAGCUUUUAAACAACGCGAUGUGGUAUGUCACGUUUAGGAAAUCAUCAACUCAUUUCUCAUUUCUCAUUUCAAAAGAAAUUCCCCAAGAUAGCUCUAUGUUGCUGUGCAGUUCCCGCCAUGAAAAUGAUCAAGUUGUUGGAAUUCAAGUUCAGCGUGCUCAUCAAUGGUGUCAAACAGUUCAGUUCUUCAUGUACCUAUAUAGCUAAAUUUUCCGAGCACAUACUUUGGUGUGACCUACAAGGCAAUGUAGAGGGGGAAUCAGCAGAGCAUGAAUGGAAUCAAGUUGAGAUUUUGUGUGAGUCGAUUUACCCUGUACCAAGUUCUGAAGUGGGAAUGGAAUCUUUAAAGUGGAGUAGUUCUGGAUGUUUAUGUAGCGUACUAUUUGCGGUCUACAAGGAAGGAAACAACAGGGAUGAUAUUAAAUUCGAAAAUCGUGAGUCGGAUUUUCCAUCUCCUGUUACAAAACCAGCCAUACCCGGCUGCUUUGACUACACUAUUACUCCAUGGAUCUUAUAAUAUCUGCCUUUAUUAUGUUUUUCUUUUUCUUCAAUUUACUCAGAACUUUGUAAUAAUAAGAAGAUAUUCUUUACUUUUUAGAUUUUCCCUUUAAUA
Lotus japonicus is the source of this 5473-nucleotide RNA transcript. It is a transcript of the gene named disease resistance protein RUN1-like, with no coding region annotated. The record is from RefSeq and is a predicted model, not a curated record. Lineage: Eukaryota; Viridiplantae; Streptophyta; Magnoliopsida; Fabales; Fabaceae. The transcript has 7 exons.